Molecule: long non-coding RNA, 660 nt
Organism: Capsicum annuum
Lineage: Eukaryota; Viridiplantae; Streptophyta; Magnoliopsida; Solanales; Solanaceae
Exons: 2
Source: RefSeq, a predicted model, not a curated record
UUAAUUUAUGAAAAAGCUUUCAAAAGAUUCUAGGAUAUUGAAGUCAUCAACCUGAGGUUAACAUGAGUCCAGAUUGUAUUACAAGAGGAUACAACCUGCCUAGGAUGUCACUUUUCUUAAAUAGUUGCCAUCUAUUGAUAUGUAUAUGUAUAUUAAUUUCCAUUCAAUGUUGACACGUGCAAAUAAUGACCGAGAAGGCGAUCUUUGAACACAGGACAUACGAUACAGAAAAUAUCAUCUGGGAAUUUUGUCUGGGUGAAGAUGUGUUUUUUUGUGAACAAGAAAAAACAGAAACAGAAGAAGAAGAUGAAGAAGAAGAAAUAUUGAGAAUCGCACGAAGGGUGAAUAUGUUCACUAGUUGAGAGAUAUUUGAUGAAAUUUAUCCGCUUAGAAUAUAUUCAUUUUAAUGGAGAAACUGAAGAGGUGGGGCGGGGGGGACCGAAGAAGAAUCGAAUAGCUGCAGAUAUAUUUGAGCUAUAAAUUAGGAGCAGCCAAGAACAGGGGAGGGAGUUGGUGAUGCAUCCGACCCUUUUAGAGAGAGAAAGGAAAAUCAUGAAUUUAAGUAAUUAUUUAGAAGAGUUGGUAUUUGAAGUAAUUAUGGUACGUUAAUGUAUGUUAUUAUGCAAUUUAUCCUUUUUAGUAAUUAAUUACCUUUUUUAU